UGACCGCAUCCCGGGCCUUCCCGCUGCUCCUCGGUGGCCCGCUCGGGCUCGGUGUGCGGGAACAGCCAUGCAUGCCCGUGCCUCCGUGGUUCCAGUCCUUCCCUGUCGUGACCUCUGCCCGGCGCCUCUACGGUGCAGAGCUUUCAGCCUUUGCGAGGAUUUAAACAAUAAGCCCGCACCUUCUCCCAGUCCAGCGCCCAGCAGAAGCGACCCUGGCUCAAUCUUUUCCCUGGGUCCUGACUUCCAGGGCCUCAUUGAGUAACACAUGCAGUGCCCCUCGCUUUGUCACGGCCACCCUGGAAAAUGGAAAGGGCAGGGCUUGGUACCCCUAUUUUACCCCUGGCAGUUGAGAUCAGAAAAGAAAAGAGAUUUUUCUCAGGUUAAUCAGGACCAGAACGGGUCAUGUGGCCCCGGGUUCAUUUUGACUAUACUUGCCAUCUUAGGGUAGCUCCUGCUUGACUGUUUUCUCAGUUUUUAAUGUCAAUUGUGCUCUCGGCUGCUGGCGUUGCCCUUGAGAGUAAUUCACCUGAAUUAUUUCUACAGAAGCAUGACCAGUGUAAAAGUCCCUCCCAGAAUGAUUGACACCAAAGGAGGCUUCAUUUUAGAAGAGGAGGAGGAAGAGGAACACAAGAUUGGAAAUGUUGUUCAUGAACCAGGGCCCGUCAUGGAGUUUGAUUAUGUGGUCUGUGAAGAAUGUGGGAAAGACUUCAUGGACUCGUAUCUUAUGAACCACUUUGAUUUGCCGACGUGUGAUAGCUGCAGAGAUGCUGAUGACAAACACAAGCUUAUAACCAAAACCGAAGCCAAGCAGGAAUACCUUCUGAAAGACUGCGAUCUAGAGAAGAGAGAGCCUGCGCUUCGGUUUAUCGUGAAGAAGAACCCUCGUCACUCACAGUGGGGCGAUAUGAAGCUCUACUUAAAGUUACAGGUUGUAAAGCGGGCUCUGGAAGUUUGGGGUAGCCAGGAAGCCCUAGAAGAUGCCAAGGAAGUGAGGCAGGAAAACCGAGAAAAGAUGAAGCAGAAGAAGUUUGAUAAAAAAGUAAAAGUGUUUUCAUUAGCCUCUCCUCUAACAGCAGAGCCAUGGCUAAUACAAGAUACAGCAGUGAAGAGGCGCUUAGUGAGGAAGGGGUGUGGAAGGAGGCCUCCAGGUUAUCCGCUGACUCGGUGUGUGUGUGCGCGCACUCUCUCUCUCUCGUGUGCAGUAUCUGUGUGCAGUGCACACAUCAGUGCAUGUGCAUUUGGAAGCUGGAGGCCAUCUUACGCCUUUGUGAUAGGGUCUCUUCACUGAACAUAAGGCUGCCAUUGGCUAGGCUGGCCGGCCAGUGAGCUCCCAGGGUUGCUGGAGAUCCACCUGUCCUCUACACCUCUCCACAUCCAGUGCUGAGGCUAGAGCAGCUAUGCUCGUUUUUUCAGUGUGGUGCUGGGGAAUUCAAACCCAGUUUCUCAUCCUGCACUCACCCACUGGGCUGGGGGAUUCUCAGAUCACUGCAGUGUAAGCCAUCUCCCCGCCCAAGUCCAGGGUUUCAAUCCAGCUGCUCGAAAUCAGCCAGACCCUGCGGACCUCAGGUGAUACCGUAGUGCAGACAGUGAAGUGUAGAUAAAAGAAUAAGGACCAAUCAGAAAUCUGUAUCUGCAGAGUGACAAAGAACACUGUAACUUUUCCUUAGACACUAGUUCUGUGGUCUGGUCAAGAUGUCAUGUAAUGGUAACUCAAUUCCUACAGUUUAACUAGUAAAAGACUAUGAGAUGCACUUAAUUUCUUGCCUUUUUAAUAUGAUGAUUCUCUUAGGAUAUGCAUAUAUAUUAAUACAGAUAGAAAUUUUCUACAAUUUCCAAAACAUGAACUCAAUUGGUGUUUACUUUUUGGUCGCUGUAUUAGCUCACCAGACAAACUACCAUGGAGUUUCCUCAUUGCUUAGUUGCAGUUGACACAGGUUCUUUUGAAGAUUGAUUUAUUGGGUUCAUCUAUUUGGGUGAAGCAUGCUUUUUAAGGGAAUGUUUGUGCGAGUGUGUACUCUGCACAUGGUGUCUACAGAUAGAGUGCCUGCCAUUUCCCCCUUUGCAUACGAGUGUGUGAGUGCUGGGCGGCCUGCGUCAUCUCCUUAUCUUGGGCUGUCAGUGUGCUGAGGUCAGUGCGAUGCCUCCUUUAAUUGUGGCUUCUCUGAUUCACUCUAGCGCUUGGUGGAUAUGUUCCUGUCCUGACUAGGCCACAGAGGGCUGAGUGGAGUAGACUGUAGAGUAGAAACGAGAAGCUGAUUGUGCAGUUUGCUCAGAGCAGACAGGAGUCAAAGCAAGUCGAAAGGCUUUUUAGGUGGAAAGAAAUUGGAACAUGGUUCCUCUUGAUGAACAGCGAAGCUGACAUAAAGCUUUCUUCUUUAUGGGAAGAAUUGCGGAGAGCAGUAAGAAGCAGUGUGUGGAAAAGAGAAACAGCUGCUCACCAACAUGAGUAUGGACCAGAGGAAAACUUAGAAGAUGACAUGUACCGCAAGACUUGUACC
Peromyscus californicus insignis is the source of this 2498-nucleotide RNA transcript. It is a transcript of the gene named XPA, DNA damage recognition and repair factor, with no coding region annotated. The transcript has 7 exons. The record is from RefSeq and is a predicted model, not a curated record. NCBI's taxonomy places the organism in Eukaryota, Metazoa, Chordata, Mammalia, Rodentia, Cricetidae.